UAGGGAAUCUUCCGCAAUGGACGAAAGUCUGACGGAGCAACGCCGCGUGAGUGAAGAAGGAUUUCGGUUCGUAAAACUCUGUUGUUAGGGAAGAAAAAAUGUAUAGUAACUAUAUACAAAAGAGACGGUACCUAACCAGAAAGCCACGGCUAACUACGUGCCAGCAGCCGCGGUAAUACGUAGGGUGCGAGCGUUGUCCGGAAUUACUGGGCGUAAAGGGCUCGUAGGUGGUUUGUCGCGUCGUCUGUGAAAUUCCGGGGCUUAACGCCGGGCGUGCAGGCGAUACGGGCAUAACUUGAGUACUGUAGGGGUAACUGGAAUUCCUGGUGUAGCGGUGAAAUGCGCAGAUAUAAGGAGGAACACCGAUGGCGAAGGCAGGUGACUGGGCAGUUAAUGACGCUGAGGAGCGAAAGCAUGGGUAGCGAACAGG
This 430-nucleotide ribosomal RNA is filed under the name Verrucomicrobiota bacterium. RNAcentral's name for it is "Verrucomicrobia bacterium partial 16S ribosomal RNA". It matches the Rfam family "Bacterial small subunit ribosomal RNA", at positions 355 to 776 of the family's 1533-position model. Lineage: Bacteria; Pseudomonadati; Verrucomicrobiota. The record is from RNAcentral.